Ictalurus punctatus (channel catfish) is the source of this 3133-nucleotide long non-coding RNA. Lineage: Eukaryota; Metazoa; Chordata; Actinopteri; Siluriformes; Ictaluridae. The record is from Ensembl.
CUCUUCUCUAAGACAGUGCCGCUUCUCCAAAAUAUGAUGUUUUGCCUAAAGGACAGUGACAGGUGACCAUUGUGAGGAAUAUUAGUAUUGGAUUUCCUCUCUGGGCCACAGGAACGCACUCACGCGCACUCUUCGCCUGGAAUAACACUGACAGGGCGUGUAACAUGUGCCAGCUCUUGCGUUUUUAGCAUGAAACCGAAAAAUAUGGCUUUGUUCAGAGAAACACAUGGUUUCUGGGGUUUUUUUUCUUCUCAGGACCAUUGUUUGGAAAUGUUUGGGAUUGUAUCUUGAAUUCUCUUUCCAUUCUGUCUUGCUCUUUUUAAAAAAAAAAAAAAAAAAAAAAAAAAGUUGCAAGUCCUCACAGGAAAAUUAUAAACAGAUGAGUGGGAUGGGAACAGAUCCUGUGCGUCAGCGACGUAGCAGAGACACCACGCUGAUUCCCAGGCUUUCUGAAGGCAAGCCGAUGCUUGAUGGCACAGAGAACCAGAAAAACUGGUCAGGGCUUUACCGUUAGCUGUCACUCUCACAUAAACACACAUACACCAUACGCCACAGGCAAGCACAUGACACAUACAAGUCCCUGCAGACUCUUCAGCGCCUGGCACAAUCAUCACUCAUCAGCCUUGACGGGCUCUGAGUUUUUAAAAAAAAAAAAAAAAAAAAAACCCCGAAACAUGGGAGUCUGGAUGUUCACACACAUAAUGCUUCGAAUGCGAGCUGUGGUUGUGAAACACUGCGGUCCUGUUGCACAAAGCUACUUGUGGAUGGCGCUCUGGUCCACGGGAUAUCACUCUUGCUGUGUUGCUUUGACAUUCUCUGGCACAAGCACGUCAAGUCCGAAGCUACACAAAGAGUGACCUGACACACUCGUACAAAAGCCUGUACCAACUCUCGAGUCCGGCCUGGUCCUCUCUCACGAAUUAAACCCAGAUCUCCUAUAGUUCAACAGACUGACAGCUCUUUCUGUGUGCCAGCACCCCUUUUCCUCCAAAGGUCCCUCAGGCCAGGAACAUAGGAUUGGUUAAACUGGCGAGUAAGCUCAACAGUCAAACAAGUUCCUCACUUGGCACUCUUCUGCAGCCUUUUAGACACCACAAGGCUCUGACUUGGCAGCAGCGAGCGAACGCAGCAAUUAAGUCGACUCUCUAACGGUUGCCGGCGUCCAUGACGCAAGGCCUGAAUGAAUCACGGGGAAUGAUUCAGAGAUCUCACACUGAGGCAGAAAAUGAGCCAACAGAGGAACAGAGAACGCACUUUACUCAUGAGUGCUGAUGUAUGUCUUGUGGUUUUCAUUCAGCUAAGGACGAAGGCACUUUAUUUGAAAAACUUGGGUCUGCGUUAAAAAAAAAAAGACUAAUAAGUAUCAUUUUUCUAGAAAGCAAUGCAGGAGGAUUUAUCGAAUGCUUAUUUGGGAAAUUGUGAGUAUGUAACUGGCUUUAAAUGAAGGAAGAACUAUUAUCAGAGACCCUUCUUUAAAGGGUACCUCCAUUUUUGUUUUUUAUUACGUUUUCAUUCACCUUCAUAAACACCGUAUAAAUCAUGUUGCAUGCAAUAUAGAGGAUUUCUGUAAGGCUUACGUUAACAUGUGAGGUGAUCAAGGUUAUACAGUCAUGUGAAAAAAUAAGUACACCCCAUGGAAUUUUUUUUUUUUUUUUUUUUUUCCUACAUAUUUGGACAAGCAAACAUUUGAUCCUCUUUGAAACAGUGACUAUUAAUAAAGGUGAUACACUCUGUCGAUUUAAAAGGCGUUUCGGAUUGGGUUAGAACCUGCUUAGGGAGGGCAGGUGGAACCCGUCUUAUUUAUAAUCCCUUUGUUAUUGAGGUGUGUGGUGUCAUCAUGCCAAGAUUUAAAGAGUUCUGUAAGGCCUUCAGAAAAAAAAAAGGUUGUGGAUGCGUAUGAAUCUGGCAAGGGAUUUAAAAAGAUCUCCAGAUUAUUUGAAAUACGUCAUACAAUAAUCUACAAGUGGCACGGAUUUCAAAUGACUGCCAAUUUGUCCAGGACUGGCCGUCCCGGCAAAUUCAACCCCAGAGCAGACCAUCUGAUGCAAAAAGAACUCUCCAAGAUCCCCAAAAUUUCAUCACAGGAUCUGCUGUUGGUGUCAAAGUGCAUGCUUCUACAAUCAGAAAGAGAUUGCACAAAUUUGACCUGCAUGGGAGGUGUGCCAGGAAAAAGCCUUUUUAAGACUACAGUAUAGGCAAAUAUAGGCAAAGACCAGGCCUUUUGGAAUAAUGUGCUCUGGACAGAUGAAUCAAUGAUAGAGCCACAGUAACAGAGGAUAUGUCUGGUGCAGACCAAAGACAGCUUUUCAAAAGAAGCACCUCAUACCAACUGUGAAGCACGGUGGUGGAAAUGUUAUGGUUUGGGGUUGCUUCGCUGCCUCACGGACUGGACAGCUUGCAUUCAUUGAUUCAACUAUGCAUCAUAUCAAAGAGUGCUUGAAGAUAAUGUGAGGCCAACUGUCUGAAAGUUGAAGUUGAACCGAAAGUUGACCUUUCAACAGGAUAAUGAUCCUAAGCACACGAGCAAAUCCACCAAGGAACGUCUCAAAAAGAAGAAAUGGAGGGUUAUGGAAUGGCCUAGUCAAAGCCCGGAUUUGAAUCCUAUUGAAAUGUUAUGGGGGGGAUUUAAAACGGGGAGUAUAAGCACGAAAAUGCUCAAACAUCUUGCAACUGAAAGAAUAUUGCACGGAAGAGUGGUCAAAAAUUCCAGCACGCCUGGUGGACAAUUAUGCAAAACGCCUUCAGGUUGUGAUUUCUGAUAAAGGGGGCAAUACUAGCGUCUGAGGCCAAGGGUGUACUUACUUUUCCCACAGAAGAAUAUCACAUCUAUUGAUAUUUCUGUUGAAUAAAUGAUUGAAAAAGCUCAUUUUCCUUGCGGUUCUGUUCAAGUAUAUCAACUUUAUUAAUAGGCACCGCUUCAAAGAGGAUUCUCCAUUCUGAUUAGCCAGAAGGUAAUCGAUUUAUUUACCGUCUCUAAUUCAAAUCAAAGCUCGGUAUUAAUGCAUUCGUUCAGAUGCAUCACCGUGUCUAUGGAAACAACGUACACACGGUGGACGCUCGACACAAAUAAAUAAAUAAAUAACAUGUAAUUAUUCAUAUGCUAACGUUUUCUACAAGGAGACAUUUAUUAAAC